AUUGAACGCUGGCGGCAGGCCUAACACAUGCAAGUCGAGCGGAUGAGGGAGGUUUCUCCUGGAUUCAGCGGCGGACGGGGGGGGAAUGCCUAGGAAUCUUCCUGGUAGUGGGGGAUAACGUCCGGAAACGGGCGCUAAUUCCGCCUACGUCCUGGGGGAGGAAGGGGGGGGUCUUCGGACCCCACGCUUUCAGAUGAGCCUAGGUCGGAUUAGCUAGUUGGUGGGGUAAAGGCCUACCAAGGCGACGAUCCGUAACUGGUCUGAGAGGAUGAUCAGUCACACUGGAACUGAGACACGGUCCAGACUCCUACGGGAGGCAGCAGUGGGGAAUAUUGGACAAUGGGCGAAAGCCUGAUCCAGCCAUGCCGCGUGUGUGAAGAAGGUCUUCGGAUUGUAAAGCACUUUAAGUUGGGAGGAAGGGCAGUAAGUUAAUACCUUGCUGUUUUGACGUUACCAACAGAAUAAGCACCGGCUAACUUCGUG
Molecule: ribosomal RNA, 483 nt
Filed under: uncultured bacterium
Lineage: Bacteria
Description: partial 16S ribosomal RNA
Rfam family: Bacterial small subunit ribosomal RNA
Source: RNAcentral